GACGAACGCUGGCGGCGUGCUUAACACAUGCAAGUCGAACGGAAAGACCCGGCUCUUGUGGCGUGCUCGAGUGGCGAACGGGUGAGUAACACGCGAGUAACCUGCCCUUGACUUUGGGAUAACUUCAGGAAACUGGGGCUCAUACCGGAGAGGAUCUCCUGCUGCAUGGUGGGGGUUGGAAAGUUUCGGCGGUUGGGGAUGGACUCGCGGCUUAUCAGCUGGUUGGUGGGGUAGUGGCUUACCAAGGCUUUGACGGGUAGCCGGCCUGGGAGGGUGACCGGCCACAUUGGGACUGAGAUACGGCCCAGACUCCUACGGGAGGCAGCAGUGGGGAAUAUUGCACAAUGGGCGGAAGCCUGAUGCAGCAAUGCCGCGUGCGGGAUGACGGGCUUCGGGUGAUAAACCGAUUUCGACUGUGCCAAAGCGUGCGUGACGGUAAUGGGUAAAGAAGCACCGGCUAACUACGUG
RNAcentral lists this ribosomal RNA (468 nucleotides) under uncultured bacterium. RNAcentral describes it as "partial 16S ribosomal RNA". It matches the Rfam family "Bacterial small subunit ribosomal RNA", at positions 28 to 507 of the family's 1533-position model. The record is from RNAcentral.